Molecule: non-coding RNA, 104 nt
Organism: Aeromonas schubertii
Lineage: Bacteria; Pseudomonadati; Pseudomonadota; Gammaproteobacteria; Aeromonadales; Aeromonadaceae
Source: Rfam
GGACGAUACUCUGGAGAGACCCGUUAAAUCGGGCGCCGAAGGAGCAAGGCUGCCGACCCGUGCGGCAGCCGGAAACUCUCAGGCAAAAGGACAGAGGGGAUGGG